Molecule: microRNA precursor, 83 nt
Filed under: Mus pahari (shrew mouse)
Lineage: Eukaryota; Metazoa; Chordata; Mammalia; Rodentia; Muridae
Description: microRNA 291a (MGP_PahariEiJ_G0007067.1)
Rfam family: mir-290 microRNA precursor family (bases 9-75)
Source: RNAcentral
CCUAUGUAGCGGCCAUCAAAGUGGAGGCCCUCUCUUUGAGCCUGAACGAGAAAGUGCUUCCACUUUGUGUGCCAGUGCAUGGG